RNAcentral lists this ribosomal RNA (205 nucleotides) under uncultured bacterium. RNAcentral describes it as "partial 16S ribosomal RNA". It matches the Rfam family "Bacterial small subunit ribosomal RNA", at positions 568 to 774 of the family's 1533-position model. The record is from RNAcentral.
CAUGUAGGCGGAUUGAUAAGUUUGAAGUGAAAUCCUAUAGCUUAACUAUAGAACUGCUUUGAAGCUGUUAAUCUAGAAUGUGGGAGAGGUAGAUGGAAUUUCUGGUGUAGGGUAAAAUCCGUAGAGAUCAGAAGGAAUACCGAUUGCGAAGGCGAUCUACUGGAACAUUAUUGACGCUGAGAUGCGAAAGCGUGGGGAGCAAACA